Molecule: ribosomal RNA, 532 nt
Filed under: Yamadazyma sp. UWOPS 01-620.1
Lineage: Eukaryota; Fungi; Ascomycota; Pichiomycetes; Serinales; Debaryomycetaceae
Description: partial large subunit ribosomal RNA
Rfam family: Eukaryotic large subunit ribosomal RNA
Source: RNAcentral
AAACCAACAGGGAUUGACUUAGUAACGGCGAGUGAAGCGGCAAUAGCUCAAAUUUGAAAUCUGGCGUCUUCGGCGUCCGAGUUGUAAUUUGAAGAAGGUAUCUUUGGUUUUGGCUCUUGUCUAUGUUCCUUGGAACAGGACGUCACAGAGGGUGAGAAUCCCGUGCGAUGAGAUGCCCAAUUCCAUGUAAAGUUCCUUCGACGAGUCGAGUUGUUUGGGAAUGCAGCUCUAAGUGGGUGGUAAAUUCCAUCUAAAGCUAAAUAUUGGCGAGAGACCGAUAGCGAACAAGUACAGUGAUGGAAAGAUGAAAAGAACUUUGAAAAGAGAGUGAAAAAGUACGUGAAAUUGUUGAAAGGGAAGGGCUUGAGAUCAGACUUGGCUUUGCCGGGCCAGCAUCGGUUUGGAUGGUAGGAUAAUGACAUUGGAAUGUGGCAUGGCUCCGGUUAUGUGUUAUAGCCUUUGUUGAUACUGCCUGUCUAGACCGAGGACUGCGUCUUUGACUAGGAUGCUGGCAUAAUGAUCUUAAGCCGCC